RNAcentral lists this ribosomal RNA (392 nucleotides) under uncultured bacterium. RNAcentral describes it as "partial 16S ribosomal RNA". It matches the Rfam family "Bacterial small subunit ribosomal RNA", at positions 523 to 918 of the family's 1533-position model. The record is from RNAcentral.
AUACGGAGGAUCCGAGCGUUAUCCGGAUUUAUUGGGUUUAAAGGGUGCGCAGGCGGCCAUUUAAGUCAGCGGUUAAAUCGUGGGGCUCAACCCCAUUCUGCCGUUGAUACUGGGUGGCUUGAUUGCGGUCGAGGUUGGCGGAAUUCGUUGUGUAGCGGUGAAAUGCAUAGAUAUGACGAAGAACACCGAUUGCGUAGGCAGCUGACCAGAUCGCAAAUGACGCUCAUGCACGAAAGUGCGGGGAUCGAACAGGAUUAGAUACCCUGGUAGUCCGCACAGUGAACGAUGAAUACUUGGUUUCGGCGAUAUAAUGUCGGAGGCAAAGCGAAAGCGAUAAGUACUCCACCUGGGGAGUACGCCGGCAACGGUGAAACUCAAAUGAAUUGACGGGG